AAGUCGUAACAAGGUCUCCGUUGGUGAACCAGCGGAGGGAUCAUUACCGAGUUUUCAACUCCCAAACCCUAUGUGAACUUACCACACCGUUGCUUCGGCGCGCGCUCGUCGCCGCCGAGGACGUUAAACUCUGUCUUGUAUAAGCAUCUCUGAGUGGCCGAAAGGCAAAAAACAAAUGAAUCAAAACUUUCAACAACGGAUCUCUUGGUUCUG
The sequence is an unclassified non-coding RNA, 213 nucleotides long. The stretch from base 1 to 46 matches the Rfam family "Eukaryotic small subunit ribosomal RNA", at positions 1786 to 1831 of the family's 1831-position model.